Long non-coding RNA from Pseudoliparis swirei, 244 nucleotides. RefSeq lists it as uncharacterized. Lineage: Eukaryota; Metazoa; Chordata; Actinopteri; Perciformes; Liparidae. The transcript has 3 exons. The record is from RefSeq and is a predicted model, not a curated record.
UUAUUGAUCACGGAGGUCGGUCCCAUCGUUGUUAUUGAUCACGGAGGUCGGUCCCAUCGCGUUAUUGAUCACGGAGGUCGGUCCAUCGCGUUAUUGAUCACGGAGGUCGGUCCCAUCGUUGUUAUUGAUCACGGAGGUCGGUCCCAUCGCGUUAUUGAUCACGGAGGUCGGUCCCAUCGUUGUUAUUGAUCACGGAGGUCGGUCCCAUCGCGUUAUUGAUCACGGAGGUCGGUCCCAUCGCGUU